Caenorhabditis elegans is the source of this 21-nucleotide non-coding RNA. The record is from Ensembl. NCBI's taxonomy places the organism in Eukaryota, Metazoa, Nematoda, Chromadorea, Rhabditida, Rhabditidae.
UGUUUCUUGCUUCUUGUGCCU